Myotis myotis is the source of this 1289-nucleotide long non-coding RNA. RefSeq lists it as uncharacterized. The record is from RefSeq and is a predicted model, not a curated record. The transcript is spliced from 5 exons. Lineage: Eukaryota; Metazoa; Chordata; Mammalia; Chiroptera; Vespertilionidae.
CAUUGUGCCCGCACGCGGGGCACGCCGGGACAUGUAGUUUCCCCCCUCCCCUCCCGGAGUCUCCGUCUGCUUCUGCAGUUAGCGGUCCGGUCCCCGCGAACGCGCGGCGUUUGGGUGCUUCGGCGAACACACACCCUGCGGCAGCUGCGCCUCAACGCGAGAGGGAGAGAAUGUCCAUCAAACCACAGCUGUGAGACAUGGCCAUCCAACGGCGAGCCCCUCCGCUGAGAGAGAGAGGAGCGCCGCAGACACUAUUCAGAGGAAGGGGCCAAACCAAGCUUUCGCGACCUCUGAUUUAGCUGCAGAGCUGAGGCAUAUAAUCCAAACACUUCGAGAGCACUUAGAGAGUAAAAGGACACCAAGGCAAAGAGCACAAACUGGAAAUGUUGCAGGAACUCAAGGGUAGAUGGCCAUCCUGCCUACGGGAUAUGUGGAAUGGGAAAAGUCAUGUCUGUCUCUUAAAACCACAUAAAGAAACAUGCACAUGUAAUAAAGAAUGAACCCAGCCCUUCAAAACACAAGGCUCUGAGACAAGCUACAGGUGAACUGUACAACAAGGAUGUAUCUCCAAAAUGUAGGAAAUUUCAGGUGAUGUAAAAAGUGGAAAUUAAAAUAACAUUUCAUCCAGACAUUGAAUGCCAAACAAUCAGUUUAUAAAUCUUAUUUCUCAGGAUCUGUUUCUUUAUUGCUAUAGUUCUAUGAUUUCUUUAUAGAUAUUUCUUAAUUAUAUUUGGACACAGAUGGUACCUUGCUACAAUUGUGGUAGCCCCCUACAGAAUAUAAAUAUAUAUUCCACUAUAAACAUUCAAAUUGAGAUUAAGGGAUCGCUUGGAUAUCUUGGUGAAACAAUUAUUAGAUGGAAAAAGGCUAAAUCUUCAUAAAACAUUAUUUGAUAAGAUUAUAUUACCAAGUAGCAUUGUUUCUCUUCUGGCCAUCCACAAAUAGAGAAAUCCAUAUGCAUGUUGCUUUCUUCAUUGUUUCCCCAUAACCAUCAGAACAGAAGACCCACAAGGUAAUACAUCCAAUCGCACAUAUUGACAAUAAAAAUCAAGCUCCUACAUUAGCUCUAAAGCACAUAUUGUCUCUUGAAACCUUUGACAGCUUGGCUGGCUUCAUUUUUUACCCUCAGAUACUCUCUUCCUGGAAAGCACCCUGGCUUCCUAAAAUAGGUAUUCAUGGAAAGCACUCUCUCGCACUAUAGUGUUUCCAGGAGUCAGUUCCUUUACUUGCAUAAACUGAACAUCUCAAUAAAGUAAAAAAGACUGCGGUUUCAUCCUAUAUAAUAAAAG